Molecule: ribosomal RNA, 500 nt
Filed under: uncultured bacterium
Lineage: Bacteria
Description: partial 16S ribosomal RNA
Rfam family: Bacterial small subunit ribosomal RNA
Source: RNAcentral
UUUGAACGCUGGCGGCAGGCUAACACAUGCAAGUCGAGCGGGGGAAGGUAGCUUGCUACCGGACCUAGCGGCGGACGGGUGAGUAAUGCUUAGGAAUCUGCCUAUUAGUGGGGGACAACAUCUCGAAAGGGAUGCUAAUACCGCAUACGUCCUACGGGAGAAAGCAGUGGAUCUUCGGACCUUGCGCUAAUAGAUGAGCCUAAGUCGGAUUAGCUAGUUGGUGGGGUAAAGGCCUACCAAGGCGACGAUCUGUAGCGGGUCUGAGAGGAUGAUCCGCCACACUGGGACUGAGACACGGCCCAGACUCCUACGGGAGGCAGCAGUGGGGAAUAUUGGACAAUGGGGGGAACCCUGAUCCAGCCAUGCCGCGUGUGUGAAGAAGGCCUUAUGGUUGUAAAGUACUUUAAGCGAGGAGGAGGCUACUUUAGUUAAUACCUAGAGAUAGUGGACGUUACUCGCAGAAUAAGCACCGGCUAACUCUGUGCCAGCCGCCGCCGUAA